Camelus dromedarius (Arabian camel) is the source of this 62-nucleotide small nuclear RNA. Its record names the gene U7. It matches the Rfam family "U7 small nuclear RNA". Rfam says of the family: Animal histone pre-mRNAs are spliced by a different mechanism than nuclear pre-mRNAs and self-splicing introns. This processing involves the U7 snRNP, which contains only one RNA species: U7. The record is from Ensembl. NCBI's taxonomy places the organism in Eukaryota, Metazoa, Chordata, Mammalia, Artiodactyla, Camelidae.
AAAUGUGACAGCUUUUGUAGAAUUUGUCUAGCAGGUUUUCUGGUCCACAUAGGAAGGCCCCC